RNAcentral lists this ribosomal RNA (465 nucleotides) under Vreelandella stevensii. Its description in RNAcentral is "partial 16S ribosomal RNA". It matches the Rfam family "Bacterial small subunit ribosomal RNA", at positions 338 to 795 of the family's 1533-position model. Lineage: Bacteria; Pseudomonadati; Pseudomonadota; Gammaproteobacteria; Oceanospirillales; Halomonadaceae. The record is from RNAcentral.
CCUACGUGGUGCAGCAGUGGGGAAUAUUGGACAAUGGGCGAAAGCCUGAUCCAGCCAUGCCGCGUGUGUGAAGAAGGCCUUCGGGUUGUAAAGCACUUUCAGUGGGGAAGAAAGCCUUGGGGCUAAUACCCUCGAGGAAGGACAUCACCCACAGAAGAAGCACCGGCUAACUCCGUGCCAGCAGCCGCGGUAAUACGGAGGGUGCGAGCGUUAAUCGGAAUUACUGGGCGUAAAGCGCGCGUAGGCGGUCUGAUAAGCCGGUUGUGAAAGCCCCGGGCUCAACCUGGGAACGGCAUCCGGAACUGUCAGGCUAGAGUGCAGGAGAGGAAGGUAGAAUUCCCGGUGUAGCGGUGAAAUGCGUAGAGAUCGGGAGGAAUACCAGUGGCGAAGGCGGCCUUCUGGACUGACACUGACGCUGAGGUGCGAAAGCGUGGGUAGCAAACAGGAUUAGAUACCCCGGUAGUC